AGUGAACGCUGGCGGUAGGCCUAACACAUGCAAGUCGAACGGCAGCACAGUAAGAGCUUGCUCUUACGGGUGGCGAGUGGCGGACGGGUGAGGAAUACAUCGGAAUCCACUUUUUCGGGGGGGAUAACGUAGGGAAACUUACGCUAAUACCGCAUACGACGUACGGGUGAAAGCAGGGGAUCUUCGGACCUUGUGGGAGUGAAUGAGCCAAUGACGGAUUAGAUCGUUGGCGGGGUAAAGGCGCACGAAGGCGACGAUCCGUAGCUGGUCUGAGAGGAUGAUCAGCCACACUGGAACUGAGACACGGUACAGACUCCUACGGGAGGACGCAGUGGGGAAUAUUGGACAAUGGGGGCAAGCCUGAUCCAGCCAUACCGCGUGGGUGAAGAAGGCCUUCGGGUUGUAAAGCCCUUUUGUUGGGAAAGAAAAGCAGCAGGUUAAUACCCCGCUGUUCUGACGGUACCCAAAGAAUAAGCACCGGCUAACUUCGUG
Molecule: ribosomal RNA, 492 nt
Filed under: uncultured bacterium
Lineage: Bacteria
Description: partial 16S ribosomal RNA
Rfam family: Bacterial small subunit ribosomal RNA
Source: RNAcentral